CUUAGGGAUGUCAAUGAAUACAAAUAUUCGAAAUUUUAUCCGAAUUAGAAUCCAAACAGAAUGAAUUUAUUCGAUGCUAAACGGAUAUAGUUUUGGAUAUGGAUAUCAAAAAUAAAAAACCAACGGGUAUGGAUUCGGAUAUGAAUUUUGACUAUACCCGACCUGAAUCCAAAUUUAUUUUAUAUUAUAUAUAAUAUGUAUGUAAAAAAUUGAUGUUAUAUUUGAAUAUGUAUUUUAAAAUUUUAGAUUUAAUGUAAUAUGUUUUGAAAUAUUGAAAAGAGAAAUAAUUGUUUCGGGUUCGGGUUUGGGUUUUCGAUUUUUGUUCAGGUUCGGGUUUGGAUAUUUUUAAAAUCUGUCGGGUUCGGAUUCGGGUUUUGGGUUUGCAGUUGGGUUCGGGUUUGGGUUUUUGAAAAUCUAUUCCGAAUUCGACCAGUUGACAUCCCUACUUGGGCUAAUAAAACCUUCUCUAUGGUAAAAUUACAGAUAAUUAAUUAAAUGCUAACAUGAGAAAAUUAAACACAGAU
Molecule: long non-coding RNA, 524 nt
Filed under: Ananas comosus (pineapple)
Lineage: Eukaryota; Viridiplantae; Streptophyta; Magnoliopsida; Poales; Bromeliaceae
Description: long non-coding RNA (ACOM_LNC030177)
Source: RNAcentral